Molecule: unclassified non-coding RNA, 246 nt
Filed under: uncultured Inocybaceae
Lineage: Eukaryota; Fungi; Basidiomycota; Agaricomycetes; Agaricales
Description: sequence contains ITS1
Source: RNAcentral
UCGAAUAAACAUUUGAUAGGCUGUUGCUGGCCCUUCUAGGGUAGUGUGCACGCUUGUCAUUUAUUUUUCCACCUGUGCACUCUUUUUGUAGACCUAGAGAAAGUAAAUUGUCUUGAGCAAUCAGGAUAGGGUUUGGGGAUUGCUGUUCCAGCUUUCCCUUGUCUCUCUAGGUUCUAUGUUACUCACAUACUCCUACGAAUGUAAUAGAAUGUUGAUCUGGGUCUUUGAUGCCCAUAAAGUUAUAUA